AGGGGCUACAAGAAUGUGAAGAGGCAACCCACGGGGCUCAGCAAGGAGGACCUGGCCGAGGUGUGCAAGCGGGACGGCGCGGAGCGAGCUGAGAAAGACGUGGACCGGGUGGUGGGCUUGGGCAGCUCCAGUGGCAGUGCCGGCCGGGUGAUGCUCUCCAAGGAGGACAAGGAGGCGGCCAAGAUGGGGCUCUCCGUCUUCACACACCAGAAGGUCCCCGGCAGUCCCGAGGCGUCCGGCUCCAAGAGGAAGCAGGACAAGGAGGAGAAGGCGGAGGAGAAGCGGACGGAGAGCGGCAAGAAAGCCAAAAAGGAGAAGAAGAAAAGGAAAAAGAAAAAACACAAGAAGGAGAAGAAAAAGGACAAACAUCACAAGCGGGCGGCCUCCCCGUCCUCCUCAGCUUCCUCUCCGGACCGGGACGAGAGGCACCACCGGAGGAAAGCCCAGGACCGCCCUGAGGCCUCACGGCACCGGCGCCGCCACGACACCACGGACUCCUCCUCCUCCUCCUCCGGCAGCGAGGAAGGCUCGGGCAGGAGCCCCUCGCGCCGCCCGGCCCGCAGGAGGGCGCGGAGCCGGAGCGGGGACGGCCACCGGCCCCCGUCCCCGCGCCACAAGGGCAGGAAGAGGAGCAGGAGCCGCUCUCCCCGCUCCCGCGGCGGGGCCAGGCAGCGCCACGACACCGAGCCGGGUGACUGAGGGGCUUUGCUGGGGAGCGGGGCCAGAGGUUUUCUAUUUUUGAAGGUUAUUCUUUAAAUUAAAGUCACAGCUCCGCUGGCACCGUCCGGCUGGGGUGGGCUGGCCUCGGCGCAGCCCGGACUAAGCGCCGACGAAGCGGCUGGCGGGGAGUUUUCUUUCUUUAAGCCCUUUUUUUAAGUUCAUGAGCUGCGAAAUAAAGGUGAGGCAGAGGCUGAGCA
Molecule: long non-coding RNA, 917 nt
Filed under: Anser cygnoides (Swan goose)
Lineage: Eukaryota; Metazoa; Chordata; Aves; Anseriformes; Anatidae
Description: lncRNA (ENSACDG00005018569.1)
Source: RNAcentral